GGGCAUUUUGGUCUUUUCCACAUCCUUCCCCAGCUCUAUAAAUACCGAGGCAAGGGCCUUCAACUUUAUUUUUCUUUUUUACAACCAGAAAUUAGGGUUUCCAAAAUCAAAAUACUCUCUUCUACUUUCAUAAAAUUCAAGAGAGAUCAAGAAGGAUCUAGAUAAAUCAAGAACUCCUUUCAAGAGCCUUCAAGAAAAGAAAUUCCCAGGUAUGUAGAUGUUGAUUCUUAGGUCCCUUUCAUCCAAGAAGCUCAAGUACCCUUUUUUUAAAAUUAAGGAUUUUAUGUUUUGUGAUAUUCCAUAAUUUGUAUGAGUUGAAGUUGAUGUUACUUGUGUUGUUCAGUUUGGAUUUAUGAUUGUUUGCAAGAUUUAUGGUCUUUGACCCUAGUAUGUGGAAUUUAUGUGAUAUUGUGAUGAGCCUUUUUGAAGUUGGUAUCUAUGUGAGGUGUUCAUGAUGUUAGGGUGUAGAGAUGGUUGAAUAAGCGGAGUAUACACCCCAUAGGUUGGAUGAAAGGCUGAGGUGAAGUAUAGAGAGGCAUUGUAGUCUGUUAAAAGGGAAACCCAAAGUUGUAGUCUAGUCCAUGCACACCUAGUGUUUGGUAAAAUGCCUUAGUAAGCGGAAUGAGCCAUAAUAAUAAUAUGGAAUCCCCGAGUAGGUGUUGAAUCGGACAUGUCUAGUGGUUGUUGAAAGACUAUAGUGAGAAAGAUAAGACAAAAUAGCGGUAAAUCUCCCAAGUGAGUGCUCUUUGAUUUAUUUUAAGUUUUGAUACAUACUAAGUAGUUACCAAGAGAAUAAUGACAUGAUAGUGUGAUGUUUUCUCAAAAUCUCAUGAUAUCUAGUUAGUUGUCGAGACUGAUAUAGGUGUGAAGUACUUGAUACAAGACCUCAUUAAAUGGGGUAUAAUUUAAUAGCAUGUCUUCUAUAAGGUUGUUUGUGACAAUGAAUCGAUAUUGAUGACCCCCCCAAAAUGUUGGGAGCGAUCCUUUGGUAAUCAUAAUGGUGAAUAGAGGUUUAUAUUUCCUAAAUGAUGGAUACGAUUUCAUAAGUUUUGUGAGGGAGAAAGUAUGUUAUGAUUCUGAAAUAGUUAGAGUGACCCCUUUGUAGUUUUGAUGAUGAGUAGACAUUUGUGAAUCCUUGGAGGCUUGAGGUGAUGUUCUAAUGUUUGUGAAAUUGAAUAUAUGGCAUGAUUUCUGAGUUUCUUGUGAAUAUGCCUAAAUGAUGGUAAUGAUGCAUGAAUGCUUGUGAUGCUUGAAUGAAUGAUGAUACUUUACUUCUAUGUUAUCGAGUCCUGGGGGUAUUUAUACCCGAAAAUAAAGCUAUUGUCUAGAGCCCGUGUCAGUUUCUCAAUAAUUCUAAUCGAGCCAUGAUAUUCAGAACUCAAUAAACUAUAGAACUCUGUAUCCUCAAACAAGUGCAAAGCUUAAUAAACCUCAGUAAUCUCAGUUAUCUCUGUAAUCUCUGUAUUGCUAGUAAUCUAGCCUCAGACCUAUACUCAUCCCAGUCCUAAUGGAACUCAAGUGAUUCAAAUCUAAUCUCAGAAAUGAUUCGAAUAAUCUAAUCAAGCCAUGUAUCGUCAGUCAGAUAUCGUGAUUUGAUAUUGUUUUGGUCAGAUACGGAACCAAGUGAUCUCAGCGUAUUUUAGCCAAAUCAUUUGAAAAACAUGAUCAUGUAAAUAGAUUCAGCUUUAUUGUGUUUAUUCUAACGAUUCAGUGAGAGCCUUUCAGUUGGGAGUAGAAACUAGCACCGAGCGAGGGAAGGGAUGGUGAUUCCUCCCGUCAGAGAGAGUGUCGAGAGUCUUUAGUAGCAAUCCCUGAACGCCAAAUCUAUGCAGCCAACAUAGGAUACAGGAGUCCCCAUCAAUAGAGGUUGUCACCAUCAGAGAGGUUGACUAUUAUAUUACCUCAGGUCGACUUCCUGUGAGGGUCAACCUAUCAGAGUGGCUUAACCCGAGAGUGAGUCUUUACCCAUGGCACGGUAUUAACUCCCUUCCAGUUGGGGUUACAGAUUGGACCCCACUUUUGGUAGGUUGGGGCAUAUUGGUUAAGUGACUACUUCCCACAGUUGUAAUUUCAGUAUCAAUCUUUAGAAGUCAAGACCGUGUGGUACAGUUGUAUAUCUCAGUAAGGAACUCAGAUAGUUCUAUUGAUUCAUGGACCAUCCCGUUAGAUAGGCUCGGCCGCAUAUACAGAUACUUACUAUCAUAUUUAAAGAUCUCCCAUCAGAGAGGCUUGAUCUCAGUCUUAGAUCAUGUUGAAAUUCUUAUUAUCAUAUUUAAAGAUCUCCCAUCAGAUAGGCUUGGUCUCCUUCUCAGAAUUUGUUGAGUAUUCUUGUUGUUGGAUUCGGAUAUAAUCCUAUUUUGUUAUCAUUGAUAAAGUUUCCAAAGUUAUCUAUUAGAAAAGUUGAAUCUCUAAUUCUUUCGGUUGAAGCGGUAAGAUCAAAACUCAGUCUUUGAUAUAAGUAUACUUAGAUCCUCAGUUAUCAAUAGAAGAUGAGUCAGUGGUUCAGCAUCUCAGUGAUGGUAGUGAGUUUAGCUCACAGUAAAGCGGUAUCCAAGGUCAAGUCUCUAGAGUUGUGAUGAUUAUGAGUAUGAUUUUUGCGUUCUUGUAUGCGUGCUUAUUUUCGUGCGGUAUUCUCAUGAUCAUUUAGGUUAUACAUAUUUUGCAUGUAUAAGCCCUUGUAUUUAGCCUUACCCCAUCAACAUACUCGAUAUAUUUUGUGCUAACGUAUUUGCGCUAUGGUGUCUCAUUUGACACCAAAGGUUUAGAGGCACAGGACCCAGAGUAUCAUCAGCAGAUCAGUCCCAGUCAGCAGCAGUAGCAGUGAGUCCUCUUCUUUCAAGGAUAAGUUUUAGUUUUCUGUUAUUGUAAUCAAAAUUUUAUUUACUUUCAGUUGAAAGAGUUAGUUGGGGACCUGGCCCAUCAAAUCAACAAUUCAAUCAGAUUAGAGGCUUUUUAGACGGAUGUAUUAUAUAGUAUUUAGUUUUAUAUUUUAGUAUUUAUAGAUGUGUUGAACUUUAUGGCCAAUUUUUGCAUUUAUUCCAGAUAUUAUGCAGUGCACAGGUACAGAUAUCAGUAAAGGGUUAGCUUGUGGUCCUUCGGGGUCAUAAGCACCGUAUGACAUCUCAGGAUAGGAUCUCGAGGCAUUAAAAUCUUGGUAUCAAAGCCUAAGGUUCAAGAGUGUCCUAAGGAGUCUCUAAAGCCUUAUCUAGUAGAGUCUUUUGCAUGGGUGUGUAACGUGCCACAUUUAUGUACAAGAGGCUACAAAAUGCUUUUAGGAGAAGUUUCCCUUCUUUUAGUAAUCAUUUCAUAUGAGUGAGCAUGAGCUCAGGUUGAUCCUCAGUCUAAUCCACUUCUUUCUUUCAAUUAUAGAGUAUGCCUCCUCGCAUAAGUUUUGUCCGUGGGGUCGAUGAUCAGCCCCCUCAACCAGUAGAACCUGAUAAUGAGAUUGUGUCAUAGGAAGAGUUUUGGGCAGCUUUUUAGGUGCUAGCCCAAGCUGUGACUAAUGUUCAAGGAAACCUUCAGGCUACAGUCCCACCUCAGCAAGAUAGGAAUUCCGCCGCAGCUAGGAUUAGAAAUUUUAUAGAAAUGAACCCUCCAGAAUUCUUUAGGUCAGUAGUAGGUGAGGACCCAUAACUUUAUCUAGAGGAGGUGAAAAGAUCACCCAGAUUAUGAACGUCUCUAGGGAGGAGACUGUGGAGUUAGCAUCUUAUAGGUUGAAGGAUGUUGCUCAUGAUUGGGUAGUGAUGUGGGAGAAGGGUAGAGGGGAGAAUGUCUCUCUCGUGACUUGGUCAGAGCUUUAGAAUGCCUUUUUAGAUAGAUUCUUUCUUCUUGAGAUAGGAGAAGCUAAGGUAGAAGAGUUCAUAUAACUAAGGCAAGGUUCUAUGACUCUGAAAGAGUAUUGUCUUAAGUUAAACCAAUUAGCUAAGUACGUUUCCGACUUGGUAGCUGACCCUAGAGUGAGCAUGAGUAAGUUUCUGUCUGGGGUUUUGAGUUAUGUGUUGAAAGAGUGUAGAGAUGCUAUGCUAAAUAGAGAUAUGGAUAUAUCUAGGCUAAUAAUGCAUGCACAGAAAAUUGAGGCGGAUAAGAUAAAAGAAAGAGAGAGUGUUAGUAAGAGAGCCAAGAUAGGUAGUCAUGGUUUCUCACAGUCAGGAUCCCAAGGUGGUAGUGGUUCUUAGCAUGGUUGGAGAUUUUUAGUUCCAGCUCCAUCUUCGGCUAUUCUACCCGCACCUGUAUUUAGGGGUGUCAGAUCCGAGGAAGGGCCAAGCUCCAAGGCCCAGAGUAGUGCUAGUGGUGUUGUACCCAUCCAUUUUGUGGAGAGUGUGGCAGGCACCACUAAGGCAUUUGUAGAGCCGGUAGUGAUAUGUUCUUUGGGUGUGGUGAUCUAGGCCAUAGAAUACGAGACUAUAGAGUCUUAAUAUAGAGGGGUAGACUUUGUGCGCUUCAGGCUUGUCUUGAUCAUGAAGGUCUCCCCGACAUAGACCCGACAAUGUUAUGAGCCCUUCAUCUAUAUGACAUAAAUUUUUAGAUCCAUUGAUUUCAUCUUGAGCAUUAUAUGUUAGCAUGAGUCAUGCAUGAGUUUUAGAUCUCAAUCGAUCAAUCAUGACCCAGGCGGUAGGUUCCUCGUGCACCGCUCCAGUAUUUCAGCAAAGUGUGUUAGAGGGACAUAGGGUCACAAGGGGGAGAUACCCCAUAGUAUUAUGAUGUUUGCAUAUCCUUAAGUUUAUUUAGAUUAAUAUUCUUCUAAUGAAGCUAGCAUCAAUGAUCAUUGUAUUGUCAGUCGUGCUUCCAAAGGUCAGUUUAAUUAGACAUUCAUGCAUUAGAUAUGCACGUUCAGUAGAAAGAGUUCAUCUUGUCAGUGCGUGUUCAGCCAUGCAUUCGUGAGAUUAGCCUAGAUAUGAGUCCAUACAUCAUAUGUUCAUUCAUGCUAUGAGGAUUCAGCUCCAAGUAGCUUCAGUCGAGUGUUCUAUGUGUUAGAGAUGCGUGCCCAGUAUGAGUACUCAGUAUGUUAGUCAUUCUAGUUAUGCAGUCAUGCCUUGAGAUAUUUCUGUUUCUUGAGUAAGUUCUGUUGAUCAGUAUUCCCAGUCUACCAAGCAAAAUUCGAGAAUGAAUGUUCCCAAGGGGGAGAUAAUGUAAUACCCCGCAAAUUUCUCUUGUAGUCUGAGCCUUAGAACGUAUCCAGUGAAGUAGAAAAUCUGAGUCUAAAAGUUUUAGAAGUAUCUUCCCAAGUAUGAAACACUUUGAAUCAUGUGUAAUUUCCCUAAUUACUAAUUUAGUCAUGUAGAUAAUUGAACAAGCUUUCCAUCUAUACAAAUUUUAUCAAAAUCCGACAUUAGACGAAGAAGUUAUGACCGUUUUACUAAGCAUUGUCGGAAUUGCAGGUUUGACGGUCGAUCUAACGAAUCCUCAAGUCCUUGCUGGACCGUCAAGUGUCCCAUCAGACCAAGGCAGUGGCUUUCUUUUUUGGUCAUCAUGUGAUGGCCAAAGUGGUGGACCGUCAAUUUCUGACAGACCAUAACUUAGACCGUCACUCCAAGGCAGAGCAUCCUAGUUUUGGCACUUGAGUGACGGACGACUUUGUGGACCGUCAGUCCCUCUAACGGACCAUUAGGUCGACCAUCACAGACCCCGAUCGGAAUUUUCUAGACAAAUUUAAAGGGGCAUUUUGUUUUUUUCCACAUCCUCCCCUAGCUCUAUAAAUACCAGGCCAAGGGCCUUCAACUUCAUUUUUCUCUCUUCCACCCAAAUAUUAGGGUUUCCAAAAUUAAAAUACGCUCUUCUCCUUUCAUAAAAUUCAAGAGAGAUCAAGAAGGAUCUAGAUAAAUCAAGAACUCCUUUCAAGAGCCUUCAAGAAAAGAAAUUUACAGGUAUGUAGAUGUUGAUUCUUGGGUCUCUUUCAUCCAAGAAGCUCAAGUACCCUUUUUUUAAAAUUAAGGAUUUUAUGUUUUGUUAUAUUCCAUGAUUUGUAUGAGUUGAAGUUGAUGUUACUUGUGUUGUUGAGUUUGGAUUUAUGAUUGUUUGCAAGAUUUAUGGUCUUUGACCCUAGUAUGUGGAAUUUAUGUGAUGUUGUGAUGAGCCCUUUUGAAGUUGGUGUCUAUGUGAGGUGUUCAUGACAUUAGGGUGUAGAGAUGGUUGAAUAAGUGGAGUAUGCACCCCAUAGGUUGGAUGAAAGGCUGAGGUGAAGCAUAGAGGGGCAUUGUAGUAUGUUAAAAGGGAAACCCAAAGUUGUGGGCCAGUCUAUGCACACCUAGUGUUUGAUAAAAUGCCUUAGUGAGCAGAAUGAGCCAUAAUAAUAAUAUGGAAUCCCCGAGUAGGUGUAGAACCGAACAUGUCUAGUGGUUGUCAAAAGACCAUAGUGAGUAAGAUGAGAUGAAAUAGUGGUAAAUCUCCUAAGUGAGUGCUCUUUGAUUUAUUUUAAGUUUUGAUACAUACUUAGUGGUUAGCAAGAGAAUAAUGACAUGAUAGUUUAAAGUUUUCCCAAAUUUUCAUGAUAUCUAGAUAUAUGUCGAGACCGAUAUAGGUGUGAAGUACUUGAUGCAGUACUUCAUUGAAUGGGGUAUAAUUUAAUAGCAUGUCUUCCUUAAGGUAGGUUGUGAUGAUGAAUCGAUAUUGAUUACCCACCUAAAUAUUGGGAGCAAUCCUUUGGUAAUCAUGAUGGUGAAUAGAGGUUUAU
This 6670-nucleotide long non-coding RNA is filed under the name Capsicum annuum. RNAcentral describes it as "long non-coding RNA (CANN_LNC015626)". The record is from RNAcentral. Lineage: Eukaryota; Viridiplantae; Streptophyta; Magnoliopsida; Solanales; Solanaceae.